CUUUAAUUUCCUUAGAGGAUUUGCUGAUGCAAAUCCUCUUUUUUAAUUCUUUUUCCGAUUCCCCUUUCUUUCUCUCAUCGGCUAUGGUAUAUUAUUAAGUAAUUAUUGUUGUUCGGUGGAGAUACAAAGUUUACGCUUUAACUCGAUGAAAUUGAUCACGGUAGUAAUAAUCAGUGUGACUCAGUCACACGCAGGAGGCAACACACAUGGAACAAGGUACAGUAAAAUGGUUUAACGCAGAAAAAGGUUUUGGCUUCAUCGAACGUGAAAGCGGCGACGACGUUUUCGUUCACUUCUCAGCUAUCCAAACUGAUGGCUUCAAAUCACUUGACGAAGGUCAAGAGGUUUCUUUCGAAGUUGAAGAAGGUCAACGCGGACCGCAAGCAACUAACGUUACUAAACUUUAAUUUCCUUAGAGGAUUUGCUGAUGCAAAUCCUCUUUUU
RNAcentral lists this small RNA (444 nucleotides) under Exiguobacterium oxidotolerans. RNAcentral describes it as "cspA". It matches the Rfam family "cspA thermoregulator". RNAcentral also lists the same sequence under 1 other name. The record is from RNAcentral. Lineage: Bacteria; Bacillati; Bacillota; Bacilli; Caryophanales.